This 433-nucleotide ribosomal RNA is filed under the name uncultured bacterium. Its description in RNAcentral is "partial 16S ribosomal RNA". It matches the Rfam family "Bacterial small subunit ribosomal RNA", at positions 29 to 507 of the family's 1533-position model. The record is from RNAcentral.
AACGAACGCUGGCGGCAUGCCUAACACAUGCAAGUCGAACGAGACCUUCGGGUCUAGUGGCGCAAGGGUGCGUAACGCGUGGGAACCUGCCCUUAGGUUCGGAAUAACUCCCCGAAAGGGGUGCUAAUACCGGAUAAUGUCUUCGGACCAAAGAUUUAUCGCCUUUGGAUGGGCCCGCGUUGGAUUAGCUAGUUGGUAGGGUAAAAGCCUACCAAGGCGACGAUCCAUAGCUGGUCUGAGAGGAUGAUCAGCCACACUGGGACUGAGACACGGCCCAGACUCCUACGGGAGGCAGCAGUGGGGAAUAUUGGACAAUGGGCGAAAGCCUGAUCCAGCAAUGCCGCGUGAGUGAUGAAGGCCUUAGGGUUGUAAAGCUCCUUUACCCGGGAUGAUAAUGACAGUACCGGGAGAAUAAGCUCCGGCUAACUCCGUG